Molecule: ribosomal RNA, 497 nt
Filed under: uncultured bacterium
Lineage: Bacteria
Description: partial 16S ribosomal RNA
Rfam family: Bacterial small subunit ribosomal RNA
Source: RNAcentral
GAUGAACGCUGGCGGCGUGCCUAAUACAUGCAAGUCGAGCGAACAGACGAGGAGCUUGCUCCUCUGACGUUAGCGGCGGACGGGUGAGUAACACGUGGAUAACCUACCUAUAAGACUGGGAUAACUUCGGGAAACCGGAGCUAAUACCGGAUAAUAUAUUGAACCGCAUGGUUCAAUAGUGAAAGACGGUUUUGCUGUCACUUAUAGAUGGAUCCGCGCCGCAUUAGCUAGUUGGUGAGGUAACGGCUUACCAAGGCAACGAUGCGUAGCCGACCUGAGAGGGUGAUCGGCCACACUGGAACUGAGACACGGUCCAGACUCCUACGGGAGGCAGCAGUAGGGAAUCUUCCGCAAAGGGCGAAAGCUUGACGGAGCAACGCCGCGUGAGUGAUGAAGGUCUUCGGAUCGUAAAACUCUGUUAUUAGGGAAGAACAAAUGUGUAAGUAACUAUGCACGUCUUGACGGUACCUAAUCAGAAAGCCACGGCUAACUACGUG